This 1705-nucleotide long non-coding RNA is filed under the name Pectinophora gossypiella (pink bollworm). RNAcentral describes it as "uncharacterized LOC126382192". Lineage: Eukaryota; Metazoa; Arthropoda; Insecta; Lepidoptera; Gelechiidae. The record is from RNAcentral.
UCAGAACAAUAACUAAAGCAUAGAAGGAAGGCUAAAAUAAGAAUUCAGAAACUAUAAACCGGCUCUCUUCUAGCUUACGACACAAACUAUGAGUGAGAAAAGGACAAAUGAUUCGCUCUUUGCUUCAUUUUUUCCGAGGUUGUCACAACAUGAAAUGUCAUUUGGACCUAUUGGACUCAUUUUAAUUCGGCCAAAUACAUAGUAACAUACAUAAGAAGAUUUUACUUAUAUUUACCGAACUAUUUGACACGGUCGCGUGAACUUUGUUUACGAGUGUCUUGUGUUCAGAUUGUUUUAAGUGAUAAUUUAACAAUAUUUUUCCAAAUAAAUGGAAAGAAACUUUUAUUUAUAUCAAAUAAUUGAGUGUCUCGACUCUGUGACAUUAUGUCUUGUGUGGUAUGGGGCUGCAGCUCACAUUCAGGAAGAAAAGAAAAUAGCCAACAACUUCUGUCGUUUCAUCGAUAUUAAAUCCAAAAGUGUCGACUGGAUUUACAUGAAAAGUCAGUUCAAGAAGACGAGAUGAAAAAUUUAAAAGAAAAGCUGAACAAGUCACGCCUCAAGAUCAAACGACUUAAUGAAAAAAAAAGUCAAUGUGACAGGGUGUCACAAAGACAGUUUCUAAACAAAUUGACACUGUUUAGAAAUUAAUAAAUUUGUAUUUAUUGUAAAUAUAAUGUACAUAAUUAAUAACGUGUAAAAUAAAUACUUGCUAAUGAACAGAUUUACGAUCUAAUUUAUAUUUCAUUUUACCUCCUGUUCUUAUUUACUCCUACUCCAACACUCCAGGUUGAUACGAACUGCGCCCAAUAAAGAAUGUAAUGAAUGUUAUAGAUUUGUGUAAGCGACUUAGAUAAAUCUUGACUAAACCUUCCUUUACAAAUACAAAUAUACUUUAUUGCACACAACAUACAAUACUUACAAGUUUUACACGAAAGAUACAGUACACCACCUACCUACCUUUUACUUUCCCUUUCUGUUCUCUUAUGAAUACUUGUAUGCCGUAUUUUUUUUAAGUAUAAUGCUAUAUCUAGUAGGUACGAGUAUGGUAAUCCUAGUAUUGAAACAGCUUGUAGCCCUAGUAAAGACCGCCAUUUUAUGUUUACAGAGUGGCACGUUUUUUCUGUAGGUAUUUCCAGUCCAUACUCUUUUCUAUGUCUAUGGCGUGAGCCCAUCGGGCCUCUUACCGUCUGUGCGGCUUAGACCCGGCGGUUCCAAUUUGCACGGCACGUCGAUCGACACCAGUGCACGGCGGAUGACAUCAUAAAUAAAUUCGAAUAUUACAAAAUACUUACCGAUGAAACGAUAACAGUUGGCUAUUUUCUUUCCUUCCUGAAUGUGAGCUGCAGCUCCAAACUAAUAUAAACCAGACAAUAUAAUCCAAAAAUGGUUAGAUACUUACCUAUCAGAGACAGAGUCUCCUUUCAUCAAGAAGAAGAUAAUUGCAUCCUACAAAAAGAAAUCUUGUAAAAAAAAUUUAUCGACAUUAAUUGUAAGUAAAUUUAAUUUUAUCGACAUAUUAGUAAAGUGAAACCCAACACUAGGCAAUGAAAAACUUGUGACAACCUACGAAAUUACGAAACAAUUUUUGUAUAUGCGUCUUUGUCUAACAUUACGCCGGUUCCGUAAGAUAAAGUAGAGCAGAAUUAUAGAGUUCUGUUGCUAUUUUAGCCUUCCUUCUAUGCUUUAGUUAUUGUUCUGAGAUGGU